AAGCGCUCAUGACCAGACUUGGGCAGGUUGAUCAUCCGUGGUUCUCCGCGGUGCACUCUGCCUGCCCAGGCCAGCAUCAGUUCGCCCCGGGGGAUAAAGGCGGCGGGAAUGUGGCUCUCUUCGGGGAGUGUUAUAGCCCGUCGUGUAAUACCCUGGGGGGGACUGAGGUUCGCGCAUCUGCAAGGAUGCUGGCGUAAUGGUCAUCA
RNAcentral lists this ribosomal RNA (206 nucleotides) under Nectria sp. (in: ascomycete fungi). Its description in RNAcentral is "Nectria sp. (in: Fungi) partial large subunit ribosomal RNA". The record is from RNAcentral. Lineage: Eukaryota; Fungi; Ascomycota; Sordariomycetes; Hypocreales; Nectriaceae.